GACAUGCAAAACAGUAUGAACGGAAUGUGUGUGGGCAACAGCAGUGUGCUGAAUGAAAAGUGCCUGUCCCAGUAUACUCUGCUCAUAUGUCUGUAAAUUUUCUGUACUGAUGAGAAGUUUCUGUUACAGAUUUUGACUUCACAUGAUUUCAGAUGACGUGAAGAAUUAACUGGAUUAGAAUUUCACAAUCAUUUUCAACAACCUUCAAAUAUCUGGUCACAUACUGUACAACACAGUGAAGGUGUGCUAUGGUGAUAUGGCUACCAAGUGUGACCAGAGGCCAUGAGUUCACACCUGACGGGAUGGUCUCUAGGCAAACAGUUCAUCGACAUUUAUGGAAUAAGAAUCCUCCUAAGCUCCAAAGCUCUAACAACGAAAGCUAAGUGAACCACAAACGACAGCCUGGUCUGCAUUCUGCCACCCCAUAUGACCUGCGGGCUGUCUCAACCCCAUCGCAGCCACAUCAUAUAUGCACCUUUAUCUCCACGACAGAACACAGAGUGGACAUGCAGCAAAUAUGUGCUGAACUCAUUAACAGUAAAUAGAUGGUGCUGAAAUUUUCUAUUGAA
Molecule: long non-coding RNA, 569 nt
Organism: Peromyscus eremicus (cactus mouse)
Lineage: Eukaryota; Metazoa; Chordata; Mammalia; Rodentia; Cricetidae
Exons: 3
Source: RefSeq, a predicted model, not a curated record